ACGCUCACCAUCGCGACCCCAGGUCAGGCGGGAUUACCC
This 39-nucleotide ribosomal RNA is filed under the name Elatine brachysperma. RNAcentral's name for it is "partial 26S ribosomal RNA". The record is from RNAcentral. Lineage: Eukaryota; Viridiplantae; Streptophyta; Magnoliopsida; Malpighiales; Elatinaceae.